CUGAAAGGCUUGAGUAGGACCCCCACCUCCAGCUCUGCCACAUGCAAUACUCAUAGCUUUUCUCCAGGACCAGCCUCCAUGACUUUAAAUGCAGUGUUCCUCAUCACACAUAUGAGCUAAGUUACAGGUGAUGUGACCAACAUCGAGAGAAAUCAAUGUCUCUGGUAUCACUGUAGACAGCUGGGCUUCAGUCCAGAGCUUGCCCAACCUCAGCAUCAUUGUCUGGGCUACUACACUGUCCACUGGGAUAUUGAUAAAUGACCAGGAACAGGAUCCCUUUCUGCCUGUCUAGAAGUUUGAAUCUAGUUGAGGAGACUACGUGUGUCAAAUACCUUCAGGGGCCUGUGUGCAGAAUGAAGUCAAGGACGCACCGCAGACUAAGUACUGCUGUUGCCUCCACUGUGAUUCUCCAGACCAAGUCAUUGUAUGUCAAUACACAAUAGGUGGCUUACUGCAACCUCCAACAGUCCCCUGGGGGACCUUCUGUCCUAGCCCAGCAGGUGACUCACCACCAAGGAGGAGUAGUGGAACAAUUCCUGACUUUGCAGUCUUUUUGCAGUCUUGUGAAUGAGAAACCUCUGAACACGGACAAGCCAAAGAGCACCUAUGAAUAAAGCGGCCUAGCAAAGAUUAAGAGCAA
This is a long non-coding RNA of Mastomys coucha (southern multimammate mouse), 640 nucleotides long. RefSeq lists it as uncharacterized. The record is from RefSeq and is a predicted model, not a curated record. NCBI's taxonomy places the organism in Eukaryota, Metazoa, Chordata, Mammalia, Rodentia, Muridae. The transcript is spliced from 3 exons.